CAAUAGCGUAUAUUAAAGCUGUUGCGGUUAAAAAGCUCGUAGUUGGAUUUCUGUCAAGGACAACUGGUCCGCCCUUCGGGUGAGCACAUAGUUUGGUCUUGGCAUCUUGUUGGAAACUGUUGCUGCACUUGGUUGUGUGGCGCAGCGUCCAGCACUUUCACUUUGAGGAAAUUGGAGUGUUUCAAGCAGGCACAUGCCUUUGGACACAGUAGCAUGGAAUAAUUAGAUUGGGCUUUUGCUCCAACUUGUCGGUUUUUGGAGCUGAGGUGAGAAUUAAUGGGGAUUGUUGGGGGCAUCCGAAUUUAGCCGUCAGAGGUGAAAUUCUUGGAUCUGCUAAAGACGGACAACUGCGAAAGCGUUUGCCCAGGAUGUUUUCAUUGA
This 381-nucleotide ribosomal RNA is filed under the name uncultured eukaryote. RNAcentral describes it as "partial 18S ribosomal RNA". It matches the Rfam family "Eukaryotic small subunit ribosomal RNA", at positions 592 to 976 of the family's 1831-position model. The record is from RNAcentral.